UCAAAAGCAACGGCGUUCUUGGCGGCGACGUGUGGUGGGGACACCGGGUGAAGUUUGAAAACGCUUUUUAGUUUUCUUUUGAGCUGCCUUUGUCAUUCUUCUUCAAAACACCGACAAUCGACCGAAAGAUGCGCAUGUAGUUAUCCAAAACUAGUAGGGUGCUUAGCGAAUAGAGGAUACUUGUAGAGUACAAAAUCUUCAAAAAAAAUCCAAUGUAAACUUUGACGGACUCAUCUAUUAGGUAUGGACUUUUUUUUUAAUUGGUGUUUUUUGUCGCUCUUAAAGGUCCGGUAGCAGCUGAAGACAACCGGAAAGCCUUCCGACGGAAGUCAUUCAAAAUAUGCAUUUCUGUUGCUUUAAUACAGCCAGUCGAGCCUGCAGAGGCACAGCAAGGCAGGAAUUUGGCAAUACUUUACUGUCGCGACAGUAGGACGCCACUCCUAGUUGUAGUGAACUGUCAAACCAAACAAAGAGAAAUACACUCGGCCCCCUGCUAGCCUCUCGCUAAUUAGCAUCUGUUUUAGCGGUGCCUCAAGUCUGUGAGCGACGGACUGAACGAACACAAACGGUUCAGCAACACGGAGAGGGACAAUAAAACUGCACUCACAGUCCCACUCCUCACCCGAGCAACAAGUUGCAAUGGGAAGUGUGACUUAGAACUUGCUGAACUUGUAAGCUGGGGCGGAGGCCAUCGUUUUCAUCUUUUUAUGGAGUUAAAGGGCCGGUAGCAUCUGCAGACAUCCAAGAAGGCGCUCCGGUAGUUGCUGUUCAUCCAGCCGUAGAGGAUGGGGUUGACGAAGGUGGAGCACAUGGCCACCACGUGGAAGGCGCUGAAGAGCAGCUUGAAGUCGUCCAUGUAGACCACGCGGCUGUCGAUGUCCACGGCCAGCUGAAAGGCGUGCAGCGGCAGCCAGCUGACGGCGAAGACGGCCACCACCGUCAUCAGCAUCUUGGUGGUCUUGCGACGGCGGCGGUGGGCGCGCGACAGGCGGCUGGCGUUCAUCUGGCUCCAGGUUGCGAUGAAGACGACGAGAAGGCUGAAAGAGGACACUGCGCAGAGUGAAAGCUUCGUCUCCGCUCAGAAGCCGUGUGAAAAUGUGGCGAUUUCCUUGCUGCAUGUCUCAGCCCACCCCCACUCCCACC
Hippocampus zosterae (dwarf seahorse) is the source of this 1143-nucleotide long non-coding RNA. RefSeq lists it as uncharacterized. The transcript has 3 exons. NCBI's taxonomy places the organism in Eukaryota, Metazoa, Chordata, Actinopteri, Syngnathiformes, Syngnathidae. The record is from RefSeq and is a predicted model, not a curated record.